UACGAAGGGGGCUAGCGUUGUUCGGAUUUACUGGGCGUAAAGCGCACGUAGGCGGAUCUUUAAGUCAGAGGUGAAAUCCCAAGGCUCAACCUUGGAACUGCCUUUGAUACUGGGGAUCUUGAGUCCGGGAGAGGUGAGUGGAACUGCGAGUGUAGAGGUGAAAUUCGUAGAUAUUCGGAGGAACACCAGUGGCGAAGGCGGCUCACUGGUCCAUUACUGACGCUGAGGUGCGAAAGCGUGGGGAGCAAACAGG
RNAcentral lists this ribosomal RNA (253 nucleotides) under uncultured bacterium. Its description in RNAcentral is "partial 16S ribosomal RNA". It matches the Rfam family "Bacterial small subunit ribosomal RNA", at positions 524 to 776 of the family's 1533-position model. The record is from RNAcentral.